GGGUGGCUGCGGGGUCGUGGGAGCGGUAAUACGGGGGGGGGGAUGGUUUGCCGGAUUUAGUGGGCGUGAAGAUGGUGUAGGGGGGGUUGUAGGUCCGCGGUGAAAACUGGAGGCGCAAGCUCGGGACGCCGGUGGAAACCAUCAGGCUAGAGUCCGGAAGAGGAGAGUGGAAUUCCUGGUGUAGCGGUGAAAUGCGCAGAUAUCAGGAAGAACACCCGUGGCUAAGGCGGCUCUCUAGUACGGUACUGACGCUGAGACGCGAAAGCGUGGGGAGCGAACAGGAUUAGAUACCCGAGUAGC
RNAcentral lists this ribosomal RNA (300 nucleotides) under uncultured Archaeoglobus sp. RNAcentral's name for it is "partial 16S ribosomal RNA". It matches the Rfam family "Bacterial small subunit ribosomal RNA", at positions 495 to 794 of the family's 1533-position model. The record is from RNAcentral. Lineage: Archaea; Methanobacteriati; Methanobacteriota; Archaeoglobi; Archaeoglobales; Archaeoglobaceae.